GCCUAGUUAGCUUGGUUGGUAGGGCGCCUUGUAAGCUCUAGGUCGCGGGUUCGAUUCCCGCCCGGGGCG
RNAcentral lists this transfer RNA (69 nucleotides) under Diaphorina citri (Asian citrus psyllid). It matches the Rfam family "tRNA". From Rfam's summary of the family: Transfer RNA (tRNA) molecules are approximately 80 nucleotides in length. Their secondary structure includes four short double-helical elements and three loops (D, anti-codon, and T loops). Lineage: Eukaryota; Metazoa; Arthropoda; Insecta; Hemiptera; Psyllidae. The record is from Rfam by way of RNAcentral.